Molecule: long non-coding RNA, 2564 nt
Organism: Phasianus colchicus (ring-necked pheasant)
Lineage: Eukaryota; Metazoa; Chordata; Aves; Galliformes; Phasianidae
Source: Ensembl
GAGGGGUGUCGUACGUGGCCUGGAGAGAGCAUUUGGAAAGCUGCUGAGUGGCAGGCUCCAGGCCACCUGUACCUCUGGCAAUCACGGCCUGACUCUCCCAUCCCAUUACCUGAGCCUUCCCCCAUCACUAAGGGAGAAGGAGAUCACAACAUGCAAUGGGAGCAUCCCUCUUCUGUUCUUGAUUCUAUAUGAUGACAUUGGUGCUCCUUAUCCGGAUGAUUGGAUGGAAACUGCUUUUGUGCCUCAGGGGAAACCCAGAGGCUGUCUUGGUGGAUUACCAGAGCGAAGUCCUGUCCCUGAGCCUGCGGUGGAUGCCAGAGGUGUGAGUGGAGUUGAGUGGGAUCCAGCUUCCCAGCUGAGCUUCAGGACCGAAGCCCCAGCAACUCGUAUGGGUCCUGAGAGAUUGAGAAAGACACGGGAAAGAGGAAAAUAUCCCCAGACGCUGUCCCAUAUGCUAAUGAAAAUCAUGAAGGACAAGGCAGCGCAUGAGACAGACAUAGAGCCUGUGCACAGGGAUGCAUUUCAGCAAGGCAGCCAUCGCACACUGCCCGUCCCUCUGGGAGAAACAGAGGCCACACACACAACUGGCGCUCCAGGUGUGGAUGGUGAAGGACAUGCAAAUGCCACAGAAGAUGAAGAUCUACUGAAGUACUGCCUUGCACUUACUGCGGCUCUCCUGGUUUCCAUGCUGGCAGCGAUGAUUACGUUCUGUCUUGUUAUCCGGCGAUGUAGGCAGAGAAACCAGCACCUUGCUGCAGCUGCUGGAGCCUGGCCCGAUGCCCACGGCCACAACUCGCACUUGGAUGGACAGCCUGCUCUCCUCAAGGUGCCCGACCGACAGACACGGCAUGGACAGCCACCACCUGUGCAGGGACAACCUGCCCUCCUGCCGCAGAGCACCACCAGAGCAGACUCCGCUGGGCCAGACAGCUGCCAGGCUCAGUUGCCCCCGCCUCAGACUCCACGGCCCACCAGCCCAGGCUCCGAGGCCCCCGGGAUGUGUGACAGGCCUAGCAGCCCCCAGGCAUCAACACCGCCCCCCCGUCCCCCUCCACCCUCUUUCAUGGGAUGGAAGAAACCUGCCCGAUUUGGAGGCUUGUGGUCAUCGGUCAGCACCCAAACAACGGCUCCCUGGCCUAUGAGCGACAGGCCCAGCUGUCCCUGGACAUCAACACCACCCCCCCGUCCUCCUCCACCAUCCUUCAGGGAACGGGAACAGCUUCCCCAGGCUGUAGGCUUGACAGCACGGCCCAGUCAACAGACAAUGGGUGCCCAGGGAAGGCACAACAGGCCCAGCAUCCCCCUGUCCACCCAGGCACCGUCACCACCCUCUCACUACCCUCCACAAACCUUCAGGGGAAAGGAGUUGCCCCGCCAGGGUGUAGGCUUGGGGAAAUUUUCCGACAGAUGGACAACUGUGUCCUGGGGGAAGUAUGACAGGCCCAGCAGCCCCCAGUCCCCCCCCCCACCAGCUCUGCCCUCCCCCUCCUCUCCACCAUCCAUCAGGAGGUGGGAGCGGUCCCCCCCAGGGGGUAGAGUUAGGGGCAUCAUGCAACAUCUGUAAAACCACUGCCAGGAGGAAGUAUGACAGACCCAGCAGCACCCAGCCCCCCCCAGCAUCAUCUCUGUCCUCACACUCCUCUCCACCAUUGGUCAGGAGGUGGGAGCACCCCUGGCAUGUGGGUUUAGGGGCAUCAUCUGACAGCCAGAGAACUGCUGCUGGCAUUGACUGGGACUUUCCAGGCUGUGUUGUACCAAUAAGCAGAAAGUAAUACCACAGUUGUCUAUGCUGUACUGUUGUCAUGUUACUACUUUGACCCACUGCCAGACCUUGUGUGCCACUUGGCAUUGGCAGACAGAUAAUAUGUGUGGGAAUGGCUUUAAACUCAAAGAGAGAAAAUUGAGGUAGAUGUGUAGAGGUCAGAGGCAGCAAGGCCUGGCCCAGGGUGCCCAGAGGCUGUGGGUGCCCUGCAUCCUGUCGGAGGAAGGGACAGGGGUGGGAGUACAUUAUGCAAAAGUGCCAGUGCUUCUGCAUGAGGUUUACCAGACAGCAGGCACUGUUCUGCUCUGACUAGUGGGCAAUAAGUUGCUCUGCAAUAGGAACCAAGCAAGAACUGUUAGCACAUUUUCUUCCUCCUCCAUUUCAUUUUGCUCUGUGGGCUGGACUGAGAAUCUGAAAGCGGAGAGAGAUGGGAUGAAGACAGUGCUGCAAGCCUCGUAAAUCUGUUGUCACUGCUCACUCUGUGAUAAGUCGUCUUAUCAGAAGCACAGUCCAUUGUGCUCAGCUGCCAUGAUACCACCCUGCAACUCCUCUCCAGCACCUGUUCUAGGUCACUGAUACCUCAGAAUCGUUCAGGAGGUGCAACAUUCCUGUGUUUUCUCUCAGCUCUUAGCACUGCUGCACUCCUCAGGAGCUAUGGCCACAAACAAAGCAGCUGUCAGUCAGCUGUAAAAGCAUCCCGGUCCUCUGCAAGAGGACAGAGUGUUCCGGUUCUGACAGCUUCCCUCAGCAGCCCAAUAUUGAAAUGGUUUGUGGAGUUCCUUUGUGCAAGCUGCUAAGGACA